This 240-nucleotide ribosomal RNA is filed under the name uncultured bacterium. RNAcentral describes it as "partial 16S ribosomal RNA". It matches the Rfam family "Bacterial small subunit ribosomal RNA", at positions 96 to 334 of the family's 1533-position model. The record is from RNAcentral.
UGGCGGACGGGUGAGUAACGCGUGGGUAACCUGCCUUGUACUGGGGGACAACAGUUAGAAAUGACUGCUAAUACCGCAUAAGCCCACGACCCGGCAUCGGGAAGAGGGAAAAGGAGCAAUCCGCUUUGAGAUGGCCUCGCGUCCGAUUAGCUAGUUGGUGAGGUAACGGCCCACCAAGGCGACGAUCGGUAGCCGGACUGAGAGGUUGAACGGCCACAUUGGGACUGAGACACGGCCCAG